UAAAGAGUAACGGAGGCGCGCGAUGGUUGGCUCAGACCGGUCGGAAAUCGGUCGUCGAGUGCAAUGGCAUAAGCCCGCCUGACUGCGAGACCGACAGGUCGAGCAGAGACGAAAGUCGGCCAUAGUGAUCCGGUGGUCCCGCGUGGAAGGGCCAUCGCUCAACGGAUAAAAGGUACGCCGGGGAUAACAGGCUGAUACUGCCCAAGAGUCCAUAUCGACGG
RNAcentral lists this ribosomal RNA (221 nucleotides) under Alexandrium margalefii. Its description in RNAcentral is "partial Bacterial large subunit ribosomal RNA". It matches the Rfam family "Bacterial large subunit ribosomal RNA", at positions 2291 to 2511 of the family's 2925-position model. The record is from RNAcentral. Lineage: Eukaryota; Dinophyceae; Gonyaulacales; Pyrocystaceae.